AUUGAACGCUGGCGGCAUGCCUUACACAUGCAAGUCGAACGGCAGCACGGGAGCAAUCCUGGUGGCGAGUGGCGAACGGGUGAGUAAUAUAUCGGAACGUGCCCGGUCGUGGGGGAUAACGUAGCGAAAGCUACGCUAAUACCGCAUACGAUCUACGGAUGAAAGCGGGGGAUCGCAAGACCUCGCGCGAUUGGAGCGGCCGAUAUCAGAUUAGGUAGUUGGUGAGGUAAAGGCGUCACCAAGCCGACGAUCUGUAGCUGGUCUGAGAGGACGACCAGCCACACUGGGACUGAGACACGGCCCAGACUCCUACGGGAGGCAGCAGUGGGGAAUUUGGACAAUGGGCGCAAGACCUGAUCCAGCAAUGCCGCGUG
Molecule: ribosomal RNA, 374 nt
Filed under: uncultured bacterium
Lineage: Bacteria
Description: bacterial SSU rRNA
Rfam family: Bacterial small subunit ribosomal RNA
Source: RNAcentral